RNAcentral lists this ribosomal RNA (469 nucleotides) under uncultured bacterium. RNAcentral describes it as "bacterial SSU rRNA". It matches the Rfam family "Bacterial small subunit ribosomal RNA", at positions 331 to 792 of the family's 1533-position model. The record is from RNAcentral.
CCAGACUCCUACGGGAGGCAGCAGUGGGGAAUAUUGCACAAUGGGCGCAAGCCUGAUGCAGCCAUGCCGCGUGUAUGAAGAAGGCCUUCGGGUUGUAAAGUACUUUCAGUCGGGAGGAAGGUGUCAAGGUUAAUAACCUUGGCAAUUGACGUUGCCCGCAGAAGAAGCACCGGCUAACUCCGUGCCAGCAGCCGCGGUAAUACGGAGGGUGCAAGCGUUAAUCGGAAUUACUGGGCGUAAAGCGCACGCAGGCGGUUUGUUAAGUCAGAUGUGAAAUCCCCGGGCUCAACCUGGGAACUGCAUUCGAAACUGGCAGGCUGGAGUCUUGUAGAGGGGGGUAGAAUUCCAGGUGUAGCGGUGAAAUGCGUAGAGAUCUGGAGGAAUACCGGUGGCGAAGGCGGCCCCCUGGACAAAGACUGACGCUCAGGUGCGAAAGCGUGGGGAGCAAACAGGAUUAGAUACCCCAGUA